This 460-nucleotide ribosomal RNA is filed under the name uncultured bacterium. Its description in RNAcentral is "partial 16S ribosomal RNA". It matches the Rfam family "Bacterial small subunit ribosomal RNA", at positions 338 to 795 of the family's 1533-position model. The record is from RNAcentral.
CCUACGGGUGGCAGCAGUGAGGAAUAUUGGUCAAUGGACGAGAGUCUGAACCAGCCAAGUAGCGUGAAGGAUGACUGCCCUAUGGGUUGUAAACUUCUUUUAUAUGGGAAUAAAAUGUUCCACGUGUGGGAUUUUGUAGGUACCAUAUGAAUAAGGCUCGGCUAACUCCGUGCCAGCAGCCGCGGUAAUACGGAGGAACCGAGCGUUUACCGGAUUUAUUGGGUUUAAAGGGAGCGUAGGUGGAUUGUUAAGUCAGUCGGGAAAGUUUGCGGCUCAACCGUAAAAUUGCAGUUGAAACUGGCAGUCUUGAGUACAGGAGAGGUGGGCGGAAUUCGUGGUGUAGCGGUGAAAUGCUUAGAUAUCACGAAGAACUCCGAUUGCGAAGGCAGCUCACUGGACUGCAACUGACACUGAGGCUCGAAAGUGUGGGUAUCAAACAGGAUUAGAUACCCGGGUAGUC